This 434-nucleotide ribosomal RNA is filed under the name uncultured Pseudobutyrivibrio sp. RNAcentral's name for it is "partial 16S ribosomal RNA". It matches the Rfam family "Bacterial small subunit ribosomal RNA", at positions 341 to 792 of the family's 1533-position model. Lineage: Bacteria; Bacillati; Bacillota; Clostridia; Lachnospirales; Lachnospiraceae. The record is from RNAcentral.
ACGGAAGGCAGCAGUGGGGAAUAUUGCACAAUGGGGGAAACCCUGAUGCAGCGACGCCGCGUGAGCGAAGAAGUAUUUCGGUAUGUAAAGCUCUAUCAGCAGGGAAGAUAAUGACGGUACCUGACUAAGAAGCACCGGCUAAAUACGUGCCAGCAGCCGCGGUAAUACGUAUGGUGCAAGCGUUAUCCGGAUUUACUGGGUGUAAAGGGAGCGUAGGCGGUUUUACAAGUCUGAUGUGAAAGCCCGGGGCUCAACUCCGGUAUUGCAUUGGAAACUGUAGAACUAGAGUGUCGGAGGGGUAAGUGGAAUUCCUAGUGUAGCGGUGAAAUGCGUAGAUAUUAGGAGGAACACCAGUGGCGAAGGCGGCUUACUGGACGAUUACUGACGCUGAGGCUCGAAAGCGUGGGGAGCAAACAGGAUUAGAUACCCUGGUA